GCGUGUAGUGUAUGUUGUGUUAAAUGUGCACUUUCUGAACGUACACCCUUGUUCUGUUGCUGAACUGACCUGCUCAACGCCUGCAUGUUUUUCUGUCCUUCAGAAAAGAGGCAGUCCUUAGGAAGCUGGGAGAUAGGCCUGAAAUCCAGAACUAUGAGACUUUAGCAAAACUUCACAAACUCUACGUAGAGAAAGGGCACUCAGAGGGAACAGACCCAGCAGCAACACUGACCAUCAAUGAGGCCUUCAGUGAACUGAAAAUCGAGAACGAAAAGAAGAAAAAUGACAUCCUUACUAUAGUUGGUGAGGAUUUAAUGAACCUUUGGAAGCUCUUCAACACUGCGGAGGAGGUCACAAAGGGAAAAAGCUUUUCUAAUUGGCAAUCAAAGCUUUCAAAAAUAUGGACAGACAUAAACAAAAAGCUUCCGGAGGACAUUAUUGGUCUGCUGCGUGUUUUGCGCAAAGACAAAAGAGACAAAAAUCCUCAUCCAGAUCUGUAACAUCUCUAUUCCUGUUAUUUGACCCGUGUACUCAUUUCAGUUCAGUUCCAUUAUUAUGUAUAUGGAGGUUGUCAAGUGUUGGUGAGUUUAUCUGACUGUAAUGCUUCUGUUUUUCAGUUAAUUCACUCUGCCUCUUUUGUUUCUAACAGAAAUGUCAAUGAUGGGUUUAAAAAGAAGAAGAUUUUUGACCUCUUCCCGGACUUUUUCAUCAGUUUACACAGAGUGGCUAAAGACUUGAGCUGGAAGUAUUGAAGAUGCUGAGAGGACGUUACACCACAACAUACCAAAAGCAUUUACAUUUUUAACAGUCGACAUCAGACUUCUCAUCAUUUGAAAUGGAGCAAUCAUUUUUGUUGACAUUUAAGCACUAUGCUCAGAAUUAUUACUUAUAGUUUUUCACAGUUACUAAGACAAAUUCUGAAUAGCCUAAACCAAUUUGUCAAAUAAAUCACUCUUUCUGCAAAACCUUAAACA
Cyprinus carpio (common carp) is the source of this 974-nucleotide long non-coding RNA. Lineage: Eukaryota; Metazoa; Chordata; Actinopteri; Cypriniformes; Cyprinidae. The record is from Ensembl.